Non-coding RNA from Phrynosoma platyrhinos (Desert horned lizard), 74 nucleotides. The record is from the annotation of a GenBank genome assembly. NCBI's taxonomy places the organism in Eukaryota, Metazoa, Chordata, Lepidosauria, Squamata, Phrynosomatidae.
GGCAUAUUGUGGUGUAAUGGUUUGAGUGUUUGACUAUGACCCUGAAAACCUGGGUUCAAAUCCCAGGUUGGCCA